GAGUGCGUAGCUCAGCGGUAGAGCAUCUGACUUUUAAUCAGAGGGUCGAGGGUUCGACCCCCUCCGCGCUCACCA
RNAcentral lists this transfer RNA (75 nucleotides) under Alphaproteobacteria bacterium. Its description in RNAcentral is "tRNA-Lys". It matches the Rfam family "tRNA". From Rfam's summary of the family: Transfer RNA (tRNA) molecules are approximately 80 nucleotides in length. Their secondary structure includes four short double-helical elements and three loops (D, anti-codon, and T loops). Lineage: Bacteria; Pseudomonadati; Pseudomonadota; Alphaproteobacteria. The record is from RNAcentral.